RNAcentral lists this ribosomal RNA (564 nucleotides) under uncultured Glomus. RNAcentral describes it as "SSU rRNA". It matches the Rfam family "Eukaryotic small subunit ribosomal RNA", at positions 546 to 1106 of the family's 1831-position model. Lineage: Eukaryota; Fungi; Glomeromycota; Glomeromycetes; Glomerales; Glomeraceae. The record is from RNAcentral.
AAUUGGAGGGCAAGUCUGGUGCCAGCAGCCGCGGUAAUUCCAGCUCCAAUAGCGUAUAUUAAAGUUGUUGCAGUUAAAAAGCUCGUAGUUGAAUUUCGGGAUUGACACAUCGGUCGUGCCUUAAGGGGUGUGAACUGGUGUAGUCAAUUUCUCACCUUCUGGAGAACCGCGAUGCCCUUAAUUGGGUGUCACGGGGAACCAGGACCUUUACUUUGAAAAAAUUAGAGUGUUUAAAGCAGGCAUUUUGCUUGAAUACAUUAGCAUGGAAUAAUAAAAUAGGACGGCAUGAUUCUAUUUUGUUGGUUUCUAGGAUCACCGUAAUGAUUAAUAGGGAUAGUUGGGGGCAUUAGUAUUCAAUUGUCAGAGGUGAAAUUCUUGGAUUUAUUGAAGACUAACUACUGCGAAAGCAUUUGCCAAGGAUGUUUUCAUUAAUCAAGAACGAAAGUUAGGGGAUCGAAGACGAUCAGAUACCGUCGUAGUCUUAACCAUAAACUAUGCCGACUAGGAAUCAGACGAUGUUAAUUUUUUAAUGACUCGUUUGGCACCUUACGGGAACCAAAGUGU